This 253-nucleotide ribosomal RNA is filed under the name uncultured bacterium. RNAcentral describes it as "partial 16S ribosomal RNA". It matches the Rfam family "Bacterial small subunit ribosomal RNA", at positions 524 to 776 of the family's 1533-position model. The record is from RNAcentral.
CACGUAGGGGGCGAGCGUUGUCCGGAUUUAUUGGGCGUAAAGAGCUCGUAGGCGGUUUGUCGCGUCUGCUGUGAAAUCCCGAGGCUCAACCUCGGGUCUGCAGUGGGUACGGGCAGACUGGAGUGCGGUAGGGGAGAAUGGAAUUCCUGGUGUAGCGGUGGAAUGCGCAGAUAUCAGGAGGAACACCGAUGGCGAAGGCAGUUCUCUGGGCCGUAACUGACGCUGAGGAGCGAAAGCGUGGGGAGCGAACAGG